CAUUUAUGUAGCAAAAGUGCGUAUGACGCCAACACAUUAGCUUUCUUUUGCAAACCAUAUAACGAAACAUAUUUCACUGUCCGAUUUUCCAAAAGGCGAAAGGUUCCGCAAUUGCGUAUACAGUUUGUGACAACUUUCCGACAAUUUUCCAUACAGCUUCGACGGAUUUUCGACCAAAACGAAAGGGUGAAGGAGCCCGGAAAAUGCAGCGGUAGAAGUCUUUUUGAGCAGAAAGUGUACGAAGAGUCAUUUCCAAUAAGUGUAGAGGUGCAAUUUUCGUUGUGCUGCUUUUGGGACUGCGUGAUUUAAAGGAGAAACUUGUGCGGGCGACUGGCAAUCUGUGAAGAUUUAAUUUGUGAAUCUGGGGUUGAGUGCAUUACUGUGUGAAGUUCAGCGAAAAUUGAUUCCGGAAUGACGAAUCUUUUACAAAUCGAAGAAAGACUGAUAAGGAUAUCGUGCGUCGUACUUCACUUAGGAAGUGGCGUGGUGUGUGACUGCAGUUGGGUGUGUUAAACGUGUGAGUGUUGCUGUUUAUGCAAGAAAACGAUACAAAUUCAGUGACAAAAUGGAUAAUGAGCCGUAAACCACACCUUAGCAAUGGUAUUGUAGUUUCCGCAUUGUUCAAUGAAUGCGGAAUCGGUCGAAAUUAAAAUCACUUCUACAAUCAAUACUGUUAUUAAUACAAAAACAGUUGAACCUAGAAAAAAAGAUACACAGGAAGUACAUUGAGGUUUUUAUCAACCUCACUCGGGGGUCUUUUGAUGGUAGUUGCUGACGGAUGCUGGAUUUCAGGAAAGGGUAUUGUUUUUUGUGGUUUUUCCUUGUUUCCUCUUUAUCCAACGGAAAAGGCAUAAACCAUGGCCGAUGAAUUCCAGUUCUUUCAGAUGUACCGGAAAGAUCAGAGCGUGCGUAGAAUAAACGGCGCUUUAUUUAUACUAUGCUAAAAAUAGUGCGUUGUUUAUCUAAGAUUAUUAUAUUUACAACAAUCAAAAUUCUGACGAAUGGUUCUACCCCGUUUGCCAGUUUUAAUUUUGUAAAGAGUUCAGUUCAUGUCGGCGCGCAACAUUCUAUAAAGGGGGGUGCAUAGAAAAAUCUGUAGGUAUAGGAUAUAUCUGUAGGCUUGAGCAUAGUCAAAGCAUUUGUAUAAAAAAAAAUAAGAUGUAUGAUUUGGAUUAUGAUGAUGUGGAGCAGAUAUAAUUGAUGAUGUGACCAUAAUAGUAGUAGUGGAAUGAGAUGCUGAUCUGUUAAGGCACCUUAGGGUAGAAUACUGCAAACAAAAAAGACAUGGAUGUCGGUCGUAGCUUGGAGCUGGAUCGUUUGAGAAAUAUUAUUCGAUUAUUUUUCCAGGCAAGGUCAGGCUUCCCUGUAUGCCCAAGGGAUGUAUUUAAUGGAGAAAAUGCGCCCCCCA
Molecule: long non-coding RNA, 1408 nt
Organism: Anopheles darlingi
Lineage: Eukaryota; Metazoa; Arthropoda; Insecta; Diptera; Culicidae
Exons: 4
Source: RefSeq, a predicted model, not a curated record